This 497-nucleotide ribosomal RNA is filed under the name uncultured bacterium. RNAcentral's name for it is "partial 16S ribosomal RNA". It matches the Rfam family "Bacterial small subunit ribosomal RNA", at positions 28 to 507 of the family's 1533-position model. The record is from RNAcentral.
GAUGAACGCUGGCGGCGUGCCUAAUACAUGCAAGUCGAGCGAACAGACGAGGAGCUUGCUCCUCUGACGUUAGCGGCGGACGGGUGAGUAACACGUGGAUAACCUACCUAUAAGACUGGGAUAACUUCGGGAAACCGGAGCUAAUAACGGAUAAUAUAUUGAACCGCAUGGUUCAAUAGUGAAAGACGGUUUUGCUGUCACUUAUAGAUGGAUCCGCGCCGCAUUAGCUAGUUGGUAAGGUAACGGCUUACCAAGGCAACGAUGCGUAGCCGACCUGAGAGGGUGAUCGGCCACACUGGAACUGAGACACGGUCCAGACUCCUACGGGAGGCAGCAGUAGGGAAUCUUCCGCAAUGAGCGAAAGCCUGACGGAGCAACGCCGCGUGAGUGAUGAAGGUCUUCGGAUCGUAAAACUCUGUUAUUAGGGAAGAACAAAUGUGUAAGUAACUAUGCACGUCUUGACGGUACCUAAUCAGAAAGCCACGGCUAACUACGUG